Molecule: long non-coding RNA, 966 nt
Organism: Brienomyrus brachyistius
Lineage: Eukaryota; Metazoa; Chordata; Actinopteri; Osteoglossiformes; Mormyridae
Exons: 3
Source: RefSeq, a predicted model, not a curated record
AAAUACAAAAACUGUAAAAACAAAAGACAAAUUGGACGGAAAAAUAAAUAGGCCACGGGUCAAAUAGCGUCAGAGUGCACCCCUCCCUCCGAAGGAAAACAACUUUUUUUGCAUGCUCUGGCCAUGCUGAAUGUGAAUUUGAACGUUAACAGUGAAAAUGAUGGGAUGCACCACCUGUUUCAUCCAUGCCCAUCCCAACUUCUUCCAUCCCAUGGGCUAUCCAUAGUGUUCUAAUGUAUUUACACGGAAUUAAAUGAAAACAAUGGAUUUCAGUGGGCAUGGCUGAAACUAACCAAAAGUAUUUGAUGCAACGUAAACAUAAUUUCUAGGAAUUAAAUUCUGUCUUGCUACUAUUUUUUACUAACAGAAAAGGAGUCUACACUUAAGACUACUGAGCAGAAAGUCUUGCAAGAGGACCAACCAAAAAGCAAGAAGAGAAAGAGGUUACCCAACAAACUCUUCCCUGACACCCAGGAAGAAACUGUAGUUGCAAAAAAGAAAAACUACAAACUCAUAGCUGCAAGACAGUCUGAAUUAGAGGUUCUCUCCCAAGAAGAACCUAACCUCAGCCCAGUGGAGACUGCUUCAGAGGCACUUGAGGAGGAGAUUAAAAGACUGCGGGACCAGCAGAGUGUUGGAUCUUCCGCAGCCAGUAAAGAACUUGAGACCCAAGUCAAGGCUUUAAAUGGGUUACCUAGCAUCUAAGGUACCCUGAAUACCUGGACAUGCGUCCAUUUAUGUUUUGGUCCCACGGAGAACCCAAGAUCUAACCAUCUGUAUACCGUGCUGGUUCACUUGGGAUUCAGCUGUCACACUGGACAUUACUACUGCUACAUCAAGGUUCGUCUUGUGGGCUCCUUUCAUUCCAUUGCCUUGAGAUGCUUUAGUACGAACUCAGCAUAUGGUUGAAACAAAUAUGCUGGUUUGUUCCAGGCCAGGAGUGUCCAGUGGUAUUUGAUGACUGAC